Molecule: non-coding RNA, 100 nt
Organism: Aspergillus avenaceus
Lineage: Eukaryota; Fungi; Ascomycota; Eurotiomycetes; Eurotiales; Aspergillaceae
Source: the annotation of a GenBank genome assembly
GGGGUUGUAGCUCAGUGGAUAGAGUGGAAGAUUGCAAUGGCUCUUCGAGUAAAAAUUGCAAGCUAUCUUUAGGUCGCCGGUUCGAUCCCGGCCAAUCCCU